AGUGAACGCUGGCGGUAGGCCUAACACAUGCAAGUCGAACGGCAGCACAGUAAGAGCUUGCUCUUACGGGUGGCGAGUGGCGGACGGGUGAGGAAUACAUCGGAAUCUACUUUUUCGUGGGGGAUAACGUAGGGAAACUUACGCUAAUACCGCAUACGACAUACGGGUGAAAGCAGGGGAUCUUCGGACCUUGCGCGAUUGAAUGAGCCGAUGUCGGAUUAGCUAGUUGGCGGGGUAAAGGCCCACCAAGGCGACGAUCCGUAGCUGGUCUGAGAGGAUGAUCAGCCACACUGGAACUGAGACACGGUCCAGACUCCUACGGGAGGCAGCAGUGGGGAAUAUUGGACAAUGGGCGCAAGCCUGAUCCAGCCAUACCGCGUGGGUGAAGAAGGCCUUCGGGUUGUAAAGCCCUUUUGUUGGGAAAGAAAAGCAGCAGGUUAAUACCCCGCUGUUCUGACGGUACCCAAAGAAUAAGUACCGGCUAACUUCGUG
Molecule: ribosomal RNA, 492 nt
Filed under: uncultured bacterium
Lineage: Bacteria
Description: partial 16S ribosomal RNA
Rfam family: Bacterial small subunit ribosomal RNA
Source: RNAcentral